UACGGAGGGGGCUAGCGUUGUUCGGAAUUACUGGGCGUAAAGCGCACGUAGGCGGCUUUGCAAGUCAGAGGUGAAAGCCCGGGGCUCAACCCCGGAAUAGCCUUUGAGACUGCAUCGCUAGAAUUGUUGAGAGGUAAGUGGAAUUCCGAGUGUAGAGGUGAAAUUCGUAGAUAUUCGGAAGAACACCAGUGGCGAAGGCGACUUACUGGACACAUAUUGACGCUGAGGUGCGAAAGCGUGGGGAGCAAACAGG
Molecule: ribosomal RNA, 253 nt
Filed under: uncultured bacterium
Lineage: Bacteria
Description: partial 16S ribosomal RNA
Rfam family: Bacterial small subunit ribosomal RNA
Source: RNAcentral